RNAcentral lists this long non-coding RNA (385 nucleotides) under Capsella rubella. RNAcentral's name for it is "long non-coding RNA (CRUB_LNC003019)". Lineage: Eukaryota; Viridiplantae; Streptophyta; Magnoliopsida; Brassicales; Brassicaceae. The record is from RNAcentral.
GACAAUAGGAAUUGCUUGAGCAUCUUCGCCAUCUAUUGUCUUCAUCAUUUAUGUCACUUGGGUACGGAGGACAUGGAGUUCAAUUUUACGGGGGAAAGCCCUGUCGAGACAAAAAGAAAAGUGUAUUACUAUGUCAACAACUAAUUGGGGAUAUAUGUCAACGUAAAAAAAAAAAAAAAUUGCUUACUCUUCUAGAGAGAAAGAGAUGUCGAAGGCAAAAUUUUGGAGCCACGCCUUUGCUGAACUUACCAAGGAGAAUUUAGAAAAUUUGUUCAUUGCUUCAACCUAGUAACAAAGCUAGUUAGAAGAUGACUAGUAACGGGAUGGUGGGAUAUAUGGUGCCCAGCUUUUUACUAUAAUACGUGAUAGACUCCUUGCCGUGGAU